RNAcentral lists this transfer RNA (72 nucleotides) under Ictidomys tridecemlineatus (thirteen-lined ground squirrel). RNAcentral's name for it is "Spermophilus tridecemlineatus (thirteen-lined ground squirrel) tRNA". It matches the Rfam family "tRNA". From Rfam's summary of the family: Transfer RNA (tRNA) molecules are approximately 80 nucleotides in length. Their secondary structure includes four short double-helical elements and three loops (D, anti-codon, and T loops). The record is from Rfam by way of RNAcentral. Lineage: Eukaryota; Metazoa; Chordata; Mammalia; Rodentia; Sciuridae.
AGGGUUGUGGCUCAGUAGUAGAGCUCUCACCUUGCAUGUGUGAAACACUGAAUUCGAUCCUCAGCACCACAU